Long non-coding RNA from Pipra filicauda (Wire-tailed manakin), 557 nucleotides. RefSeq lists it as uncharacterized. The record is from RefSeq and is a predicted model, not a curated record. Lineage: Eukaryota; Metazoa; Chordata; Aves; Passeriformes; Pipridae. The transcript has 2 exons.
GCUUCCUGGCAAACCUGGCGUUAGAGCGGCAGCUCUGCGGGGGAAGAUCCGGGCUCCAGGAGGCACUGGGAGGCUGUUCCAGCAGGAAUUCGGCAUGGAAUUGCGGGCUGUGAAUUGUGCACAAGCCAGUCCCCCAUUCCCUAUCCAGGCUGGGAGUGCUCGUGCCCUUGGCACAGAUGGCUCUGGCUGGGCAGGAACUGAGAGCAGGACAUGGGGCAGAGUGGAUCAGCUGCCCAGGGAACCUCCAGCAGAUGAAGCUACGGGAUCCUCAUUCCAAUCAAGGGAACACAUUCUGUCUCUGGCAGAAGCCGGGAGCCAAAGCAGAUCCCGCCUGGCCAGGCUGGGGGGCAGCAGUUGGAUCCACUCUGGGGGAAAGCCCCUGUGCCUGCCAGGAGCUCUGACUCUGUUUGUCCUGCCAGCUCCUGACCAGUGUCAGGGCCACUGGGAGGGAUUCAGAAUCCAAAGAAAUCCCAAAUCCUACUGAGGGACUCAAUCAAAGGAAGAAAGUAAUUUUUGUCAUAAAAAGCUUAAAAAAACUGUUAAAAAUUCUAGGACAG